This 248-nucleotide ribosomal RNA is filed under the name uncultured bacterium. RNAcentral's name for it is "partial 16S ribosomal RNA". It matches the Rfam family "Bacterial small subunit ribosomal RNA", at positions 334 to 599 of the family's 1533-position model. The record is from RNAcentral.
GGAUCCUACGGGGCGCAGCAGUGGGGGAUAUUGCACAAUGGGGGGAACCCUGAUGCAGCGACGCCGCGUGGGUGAAGGAGCGUUUCGGCGCGUAAAGCCCUAUCGGCAGGGAAGAAGAUGACGGUACCUGACCAAGAAGCCCCGGCUAACUACGGGCCAGCAGCCGCGGGAAUACGUAGGGGGCAAGGGUUAUCCGGAUUUACUGGGUGUCAAGGGGGCGCAGACGGGAAUGCAAGGCAGGAGGAGAA